UGCAUUGGCCUCCCGGCCAUCGAACCUGGGCCGCCCGCGUGGCUGGCGAGCAUUCUACCACUGAAUCACCGAUGC
Cordylochernes scorpioides is the source of this 75-nucleotide non-coding RNA. The record is from the annotation of a GenBank genome assembly. NCBI's taxonomy places the organism in Eukaryota, Metazoa, Arthropoda, Arachnida, Pseudoscorpiones, Chernetidae.